Molecule: long non-coding RNA, 437 nt
Organism: Gasterosteus aculeatus aculeatus (three-spined stickleback)
Lineage: Eukaryota; Metazoa; Chordata; Actinopteri; Perciformes; Gasterosteidae
Source: Ensembl
AAAGAUAAGAAGCUGAUAAGAAGUCACUUCACUCCGUCUGAUGGAAGCUGAAGUGAAGCACGGAGCUCCUUUUCUACACGGACCUGCUGAGGACAGAAGAGAGCUGCUCACUGAGGAAGUUCAUGUCUACGAGCUCAGUAAGUGUGAAGGUGUGGACUCUGCUAUGAAUCAGGCUGAGGACCCAGAGGACGGAGUCCCUCCCUCUGAAGCCCCUCUGUGUGGGGAACAUGACAGCCAGACCAAAGCUCAGAGGACCCAUCAGAGACCAGGACCUGGACCUGGACCCAGCUGUGUGUCCAUGAAGAGUAACCGGUCUAUGGAUCCUCCUCUAAACUUCAAAGAUGUUGGUCCCUCUGUUGAUGCAAGUUCACAUCAGCAGAGAGGAAAGUCUCCUGAACCCAGAUGUUUGUCCCAUGAAGAGUCAUCCGGUCUAAUAA